Non-coding RNA from Bos taurus (domestic cattle), 72 nucleotides. The record is from Rfam. Lineage: Eukaryota; Metazoa; Chordata; Mammalia; Artiodactyla; Bovidae.
UCCCUGGUGGUCCAGUGGCUAUGACUCUGCUCUCUCAAUCAGGGGGCCCGGGUUCAAUUCCUGGUCAGGGAA